RNAcentral lists this ribosomal RNA (458 nucleotides) under uncultured Thiobacillus sp. RNAcentral describes it as "bacterial SSU rRNA". It matches the Rfam family "Bacterial small subunit ribosomal RNA", at positions 919 to 1382 of the family's 1533-position model. Lineage: Bacteria; Pseudomonadati; Pseudomonadota; Betaproteobacteria; Nitrosomonadales; Thiobacillaceae. The record is from RNAcentral.
ACCCGCACAAGCGGUGGAUGAUGUGGUUUAAUUCGAUGCAACGCGAAAACCUUACCCACCUUUGACAUGCACGGAAUCCUUUAGAGAUAGAGGAGUGCUCGAAAGGGAACCGGAACACAGGUGCUGCAUGGCUGUCGUCAGCUCGUGUCGUGAGAUGUUGGGUUAAGUCCCGCAACGAGCGCAACCCUUGUCCUUAGUUGCUACGCAAGAGCACUCUAAGGAGACUGCCGGUGACAAACCGGAGGAAGGUGGGGAUGACGUCAAGUCCUCAUGGCCCUUAUGGGUAGGGCUUCACACGUCAUACAAUGGUCGGUACAGAGGGUUGCCAAGCCGCGAGGUGGAGCCAAUCCCACAAAGCCGAUCGUAGUCCGGAUUGUUCUCUGCAACUCGAGAGCAUGAAGUCGGAAUCGCUAGUAAUCGCAGGUCAGCAUACUGCGGUGAAUACGUUCCCGGGUCUU